RNAcentral lists this ribosomal RNA (238 nucleotides) under uncultured bacterium. RNAcentral describes it as "partial 16S ribosomal RNA". It matches the Rfam family "Bacterial small subunit ribosomal RNA", at positions 15 to 233 of the family's 1533-position model. The record is from RNAcentral.
GAUCAUGGCUCAGGACGAACGCUGGCGGCGUGCCUAAUACAUGCAAGUCGAACGCAUUUUCUUUCACCGUAGCUUGCUACACCGAAAGAAAAUGAGUGGCGAACGGGUGAGUAACACGUGGGUAACCUGCCCAUCAGCGGGGGAUAACACUUGGAAACAGGUGCUAAUACCGCAUAAUUCCAUUUACUGCAUGGUAGAUGGAUGAAAGGCGCUUUUGCGUCACUGAUGGAUGGACCCG